This 498-nucleotide unclassified non-coding RNA is filed under the name uncultured Glomus. Its description in RNAcentral is "SSU rRNA". It matches the Rfam family "Eukaryotic small subunit ribosomal RNA", at positions 591 to 1092 of the family's 1831-position model. Lineage: Eukaryota; Fungi; Glomeromycota; Glomeromycetes; Glomerales; Glomeraceae. The record is from RNAcentral.
CCAAUAGCGUAUAUUAAAGUUGUUGCAGUUAAAAAGCUCGUAGUUGAAUUUCGGGAUUAGUACGCUGGUCGUGCCUUCGGUAUGUACUGGUGUUACUGGUUCCUACCUUCUGACGAACCGUCAUGUCAUUAAUUUGGUGUGGCGGGAAAUCAGGACUGUUACUUUGAAAAAAUUAGAGUGUUUAAAGCAGGCGCGCGCUUGAAUACAUUAGCAUGGAAUAAUGAAAUAGGACGUUCGAUCCUAUUUUGUUGGUUUCUAGGAUUGACGUAAUGAUUAAUAGGGAUAGUUGGGGGCAUUAGUAUUCAAUUGUCAGAGGUGAAAUUCUUGGAUUUAUUGAAGACUAACUACUGCGAAAGCAUUUGCCAAGGAUGUUUUCAUUAAUCAAGAACGAAAGUUAGGGGAUCGAAGACGAUCAGAUACCGUCGUAGUCUUAACCAUAAACUAUGCCGACUAGGGAUCGGAUGAUGUUAUUGUUAAUGACUCAUUCGGCGCCUUACG